This 957-nucleotide unclassified non-coding RNA is filed under the name Hevea brasiliensis (rubber tree). The record is from RNAcentral. Lineage: Eukaryota; Viridiplantae; Streptophyta; Magnoliopsida; Malpighiales; Euphorbiaceae.
AAAUAUUUGUCCAGAUGGAAUCAUUGCAACAUAAUUAGCAGCCACCUGUGAUUACAAAUUGCACAGGCAUGAAUUACUAUCAGAGAGAAGUUACAGGGGAUAAGACAGAAUGAGAAGGGCAAUAAAAUAAAUAAAAUUUUCAGGUAUUGGCAGGCCAAGAAUGUUAGGCUGACUGUUAAUCCUUAUUCUCAUAAUUACUGAAACAGGUAAACUGAAUGAAUCAAAGUGCUAUCAGGAGCCACUGAAGAAUGAAGGUCAUAAACUUGUGUCAGUAAUAGAAUAAUUUAAACAUAUCUUAGACAAAAAAACAUUUCAAUUUUGUUCAAGCCCAAUUCAAUCUACUUGGACUUGUUUUCAGAGAUGAACAAGCUGUUAGUUAUAUAUAUGUGUGUGUGUAUGUGUGUGCGCACGCGCGUGCGUGUGUGUGGAGCAAAUAUAUAAAGCAAAAGCUGAUUGAUUUUAGGAACUAAUGCUGCGAUCCUCAACAUGCGAGCCAAAAUAGGCGGCGCUAGGAAGCUUGACAGUGUUAAUGUAAUAAGCAAUUUCAUUUUUGACAUCACAAACAAAUAAAGGCCUUUUUGGAUCUUGGUCAAGAGUCCAGUUGGUGUACAUGUACUCAUGGCUCCCACCUACAGUUAAGUGUAUCAAUUAAGCUAACCCCAAUUCAUAUAGACAUAAAUGCAAUAGAGAGUCAUGAAAAUAUGUCAAACCUCAUCAGCUUUCCAACAAGUCCUCAAAGGUUAGUUGAAAAGGCCAUACAACUGACAGAGGCCUUAGAAGAUAGACACAACCUUAGAAGAUAGACACAAUCUUCCAUAGUCAAUGUCAAUGCAGGUCAAGAAAGCUAUAAUUACAUAACUUGAACAUCAAAUAGAUAUCUUGUAGGUCCUCAAGUACUUCACAUUUAGAGCUGAUAUGUCUUCUUCCUUCUUUUGUCAGUUUAAGAGGAAUUUACGC